RNAcentral lists this unclassified non-coding RNA (313 nucleotides) under plant metagenome. RNAcentral's name for it is "partial contains 5.8S ribosomal RNA, internal transcribed spacer 2, and large subunit ribosomal RNA". The stretch from base 1 to 105 matches the Rfam family "5.8S ribosomal RNA", at positions 50 to 154 of the family's 154-position model. The record is from RNAcentral.
GAAAUGCGAUAAGUAAUGUGAAUUGCUGAAUUCCGUGAAUCAUCGAAUCUUUGAACGCACAUUGCGCCCUCUGGCAUUCCGGGGGGCAUGCCUGUCCGAGCGUCAUUACGCACCCUCAAGCCCGGCUUGUGUGAUGGGCCCCGGCGUCUCGUUCGCGAGACGGGCCCGAAAGGCAGCGGCGGCGUCGACCCGAUGAGCCCGAGCGUAUGGGGACUUCUGUCACACGUUCGCGGUGCGGACCGGCGCCUGCUUUGACUUUUCUGAUUAUCCAGGUUGACCUCGGAUCAGGUAGGGAUACCCGCUGAACUUAAGC